UUUUUUUAUUUUUAUUUUUUUAAGGUUUUAAUUAAUUCAUUAAUUUUGUCUUUUUAGGGCCGCAACCACCGCAUAUGGAGGUUCCCAGCCUAGGGGUAGAAUCGGAGCUAUAGCCGCUGGCCUACACCACAGCCACAGCUAUGCCAGAUCCAAGCUGCGUCUGUGACCUACACCACAGCUCAAGGCAACGCGGGAUCCUUAACCCACUAAGCGAGGCCAGGGAUCGAACCUGCAUCCUCAUGGAUGCUAGUCAGAUUCAUUUCCACUUAGCCACGUGGGGAACUCCUAUUAGUGAUAUUUUAAAACAAGUGUUAAAUACCAACAUCCAUCUUGAAUACAUAGCUACAAAUAUUGCCAUUGGUGGAGUUCCCAUUGUGGCUCAGCAAUAACCAAUCUGACUAGUAACCAUGAGGAAGCAGUUCCAUCCCUGGCCUUGCUCAGUGGGUUAAAGAUCCUACCUUGCGGUGAGCUGUAGGUUGCAGACACUGGCUUGGAUUGGCAUUGCUCUGGCUGUGUCCUAGGCCAGCUGCUGCAGCUCCAAUUUGACCCUUGGCCUGGGGACUUUUAUAUGCCUCAGGUGUGGCCCUAAAAAAGCAAAAUAAAUAAAUUAAUUAAAAAAUGUUUUUGGUGAUAUGAUUUCUUAAAUGGACUAAAUAAAGUUCCCAGUAAAAGUUUGAUCUUUGCUCUAUUUACAUCCACUCCUGGAAAAAUCAGUGUCUCUAAAUAUCCGGCCCCAUCAAAAUUGCAUUAAUUUGUAAAACAAUGGGUUAGAGAGUCAUAUAAUCAGAAACAGAGUUUCACCCACAGGAAUCUUGGUUGGAACACUCAAAAGUCAUGUCUGGGAGUUCCCAUUGUGGCUCAGCAGGUUACGGGCUGGACAUUGUCUCUGUGAGGAUGCAGGUUUGUCCCCUGGCAUCAUCAGUGAGUUAAGGAUCCCAAGUUGCCAUAAGCUGCAACUUACCUUAUUCCACUUACCAUCGGCAUUUCACUUAACCAUCGUGUUUUCAGGGUUCAUCUGUGCUGUAGCAUGUGUCAGAAUUUCCCUUUAUUUGAAGGCUGAAUCAUAUUCUAUGAUAUGAAUAGAUCACAUUUUGUUUAUCUCCUCAUCUAUCCAUGGCACUGUUAUCUCCACCUGUUGGGUAUUAUGACUAAUGCUACAAUGAACAUGGUUGUACAAAUAUGUUUGAAACCCUGCUUUCCAAUUCUUCUGUAUGUAUCCAUAAGAGGAACUGAUCACAUUGUUUUCCAUAAUCUGUACCACUUCACAUCCCCACCAGCAAUGCACAGGGGUUUCAGUUAUUGUCACAUCCUUGCCACCAUGUCUCUGCUUUAAGUGGUAGCCAUCCUAAUAGAUGUAAAGGGGCACCUCAGUUUGGUUUUGACUUGCAUUUUCCCCAGUGAUGUCCAGCAUCUUUUCUUUUCAUGCGUAAUGGCCAUUUGUAUUAAAAUCCUUUGCCAGUUUUUGAAUUGGGUUUUUUGGGGUUUUGCUACUGAAUUUUAGAAGUUUUCAAAAAUAUUUUCUGAGCAUGUGAUUUGCAAAUUCUUUUCAGUGCGUAAUGGCCAUUUGUAUUAAAAUCCUUUGCCAGUUUUUGAAUUGGGUUUUUGGGGGUUUUGCUACUGAAUUUUAGAAGUUUUCAAAAAAUAUAUUCUGAGCAUGUGAUUUGCAAAUAUUUCCCCCAUUCUGUGGGUUGCCUUUUUACUGUUGGUGUCCUUUGAUACACAAAAGCUUUUAUUAUUAUUAUCAUUAUUUUUGCUUUUUAGGGCCACACCUGCGGCAUAUGGAAGUUUCCAGGCUAGGGGGUCAAAUCGGAGCUGCAGUUGCCGCCAGCCUAUGCUGUGGCACCAGAUCUGUGACCUACACCACAGCUCAUGGCAACGCCGGAUCCCCGAUCAACUGAGCGAGGCCAGACACUGAAACUGCAUCCUCAUGAACACUAGUCAGAUUAAUUUCUGCUGUGCCACAAUGGAAAUUCCCCAAAGCUUUUAAUGGACUUUUGUUUGCUUGUGUUUUACUCUUUGUGUCAUAUCCAAGAAAUCAUUGCCAAAUCCAACACCAUGAAGGUUUCUUUCCCUGUUUUUUUCUAAAUUUUUAUAGUUUUAGCACUUAUGUUUAAGCCAUUGAUCCAUUUUGAGUUAUUUUUUAUAUGUGAUAUGAAAGAUAUGAAAGAAAAUUCAACUUCAUUCUCUUGCUUAUGAACAUUCGGUCUCACCAACACCAUUUGUUGGAAAUACUGUCCUUUCCCCAUUGAAUGACCUUAGUACCUUUGUCAGAUAUUUGACCAUAUACACAAAGAUUUAUCUCUGACUUACUUGCUCUCAACUUAUUUUGAAAUAUUUUAACGCGGAGUUCCCAUCGUGGCUUAGUGGUUAACCAACCUGACUAGUAUCCAUGAGGACAUGGGUUUGAUCCCUGGCCUUGAUCGGUGGGUUAAGGAUCUGGCAUUGCUGUGAGCUGUGGUGCAGGUUGCAGAGGCAGCUCAGAUCCCGCAUUGCUGUGGCUGUGGUGUAGGCCAGCGGUAGCUCAGAUUGCACCCGUAGCCUGGGAACCUCCAUAUGCCAUGGGUGUGGCUGUAAAAAAACAAAAGACAAAAAAAUAUAUAUUUUUUAAACGCAAAGAAAAGUCAAACUAUUACAUGAACAUUUAUGUAUGCUUCACCUAGAUUCAAGCACUGUGAACUUUUUGCCACAAUUACUUUGUAUUUUUAAUGGCUGUACCUGCAACAUCUGGAAGUUCCUGAGCCAGAGACUGAAUCUGAGCCACAGCUGCAACUUACACCACAGCUGCAGCAAUGCCAGAUCCUUUAACCCACUGCACUGUACUGGGGAUGAAAACUGCACCUCUUCAGCAACCCAAGCUGCUGCAGAUUUUUUUAGGGCCACACCCACGGCAUGUGGGGAUUCCCAGGCUAGGGGUUAAAUCAGAGCUGCAGCUGCCAGCCUGCACCACAGCCACAGCAACACAGGAUCCA
Molecule: long non-coding RNA, 2969 nt
Filed under: Sus scrofa (pig)
Lineage: Eukaryota; Metazoa; Chordata; Mammalia; Artiodactyla; Suidae
Description: lncRNA (ENSSSCG00055004243.1)
Source: RNAcentral